UGACUACAACAUUCAAAAGGAGUCUACCCU
Molecule: non-coding RNA, 30 nt
Filed under: Mus musculus (house mouse)
Lineage: Eukaryota; Metazoa; Chordata; Mammalia; Rodentia; Muridae
Source: RNAcentral